AUUGAACGCUGGCGGCAUGCCUUACACAUGCAAGUCGAACGGCAGCACGGGAGCAAUCCUGGUGGCGAGUGGCGAACGGGUGAGUAAUAUAUCGGAACGUGCCCAGUCGUGGGGGAUAACGCAGCGAAAGUUGUGCUAAUACCGCAUACGAUCUAUGGAUGAAAGCGGGGGAUCGCAAGACCUCGCGCGAUUGGAGCGGCCGAUAUCAGAUUAGCUAGUUGGUGGGGUAAAAGCCCACCAAGGCGACGAUCUGUAGCUGGUCUGAGAGGACGACCAGCCMCACUGGAACUGAGACACGGUCCAGACUCCUACGGGAGGCAGCAGUGGGGAAUUUUGGACAAUGGGCGCAAGCCUGAUCCAGCAAUGCCGCGUGCAGGAUGAAGGCCUUCGGGUUGUAAACUGCUUUUGUACGGAACGAAACGGCGAGCUCUAAUAAAGUUUGCUAAUGACGGUACCGUAAGAAUAAGCACCGGCUAACUACGUG
Molecule: ribosomal RNA, 484 nt
Filed under: uncultured bacterium
Lineage: Bacteria
Description: bacterial SSU rRNA
Rfam family: Bacterial small subunit ribosomal RNA
Source: RNAcentral